CACGUACUGUGCGAACGUUAUUCGGAAUCACUGGGCUUAAAGGGUACGUAGGCGGUUUAUCAAGUCAGGUGUGAAAUGCCUGAGCUCAACCGAGGCACUGCGCUUGAAACUGAUAAACUAGAGUGUUCCAGGGGUAUGCGGAACUGCCAGUGGAGCGGUGAAAUGCGUUGAUAUUGGCAGGAACACCAGUGGCGAAGGCGGCAUACUGGGGGACAACUGACGCUGAGGUACGAAAGCCAGGGUAGCGAACGGG
RNAcentral lists this unclassified non-coding RNA (253 nucleotides) under uncultured Planctomycetales bacterium. RNAcentral's name for it is "contains 16S-23S intergenic spacer region". It matches the Rfam family "Bacterial small subunit ribosomal RNA", at positions 524 to 776 of the family's 1533-position model. Lineage: Bacteria; Pseudomonadati; Planctomycetota; Planctomycetia; Planctomycetales. The record is from RNAcentral.